Brienomyrus brachyistius is the source of this 1019-nucleotide long non-coding RNA. RefSeq lists it as uncharacterized. NCBI's taxonomy places the organism in Eukaryota, Metazoa, Chordata, Actinopteri, Osteoglossiformes, Mormyridae. The record is from RefSeq and is a predicted model, not a curated record. The transcript has 3 exons.
AUUGAAGAAAAGAAACUGUAAAAUUGCAUUUCUACUUAUAGAGGACAUGGACAUUUCGUUAAGAUGAAACACUUGCUGAGAGUAAUAUAUAUUGGAUUUUUUUAGUUGUGUGAUGUAUUUUCUCAGACCAGAACUUCACUACAACCACCACAACUGUGUCGAUCACCAAAUCUGCUGCCACUAUCAGUGGCCCUUCUGAUUCUGCUCCACAAACAGGUAACUUAUCUUUCAUUGAUGAGAAGAAGACCUGGGUCGCUGCACUGAAAUACUGUAUGGAUUAUUACUCUACGUUAGUGCACAUCACUAACGAAAGUAUGCAAACAGCAGUCGAGCAACUGAUGAUCAAGGAGACCUUUCCUAGCAGUGGAGUGUGGAUUGGCUUGGAGCGGUCCUUCCUGGACUGCAAUGGGUCCUGGUUCUGGACAGGUCUCUCAGAGGCUGGCUUUACCCAAUGGGAUGAUGAGUAUAAAUCUAGGCCAGCAAAAUACUACUGUGGCAAGAUAAUCCGCACAGACAACAAUCAACUGAGGUGGCAGGAUGGCUGCUGUGAGGAUCAGCUGCCCUUUAUCUGUCAGGGUGCCUCUUCUGGCUGACCAUGCAGGCACAGCAGGAUGUAGCGCCUGAGCCUGUUGCUGGCAUGACCCCUUGCCUACCUUACAUGAAAAAAUUUCCACCAGUCCUUCACUAAACAUGUCAAUGCUCCCAUUUCUGCAAAAUACACUCCAGAAUAUACAUUGUUUCUAACUUUACUGUAGUAUGUAUGUUAGAUUUUUAAAUCAAAUUUUAAUGUACUUGAGUUAUGAAACUCUGAAUCAAUGUAACAUUUUUAAUCGGUAAUUUACUGCCUUAACUCGGUAAAAUCCGGCAGGAUCAACAAAUAGGACUUUGUUUUGAAAUGUUGUUUGUUGUUUAAUUAAAAUAAAGACAAUGCAAUUGUAAUACGAUUUACCACCUUUAUGAAGCUGUAUGGAAUUAUUAACAGCUUUGCUUCUUUAAAUAUAAAAAACUAAUUAACCUUC